GCGGGGAUAGCCAAGCCAGGCCAAAGGCGCAGAAGAAAAGCCUGUCCCAUAGGGGUUCGCGGGUUCAAAUCCCGCUCCCCGCACCA
RNAcentral lists this transfer RNA (86 nucleotides) under Candidatus Bathyarchaeota archaeon. RNAcentral's name for it is "tRNA-Phe". It matches the Rfam family "tRNA". From Rfam's summary of the family: Transfer RNA (tRNA) molecules are approximately 80 nucleotides in length. Their secondary structure includes four short double-helical elements and three loops (D, anti-codon, and T loops). The record is from RNAcentral. Lineage: Archaea; Thermoproteati; Candidatus Bathyarchaeota.